This 253-nucleotide ribosomal RNA is filed under the name uncultured bacterium. RNAcentral's name for it is "partial 16S ribosomal RNA". It matches the Rfam family "Bacterial small subunit ribosomal RNA", at positions 524 to 776 of the family's 1533-position model. The record is from RNAcentral.
UACGUAGGUGGCAAGCGUUAUCCGGAUUUAUUGGGUUUAAAGGGAGCGUAGGCGGUUUUGUAAGUCAGUGGUGAAAGACGGUCGCUCAACGAUCACAUUGCCAUUGAUACUGCAAGGCUAGAGUACAGUAGAGGUGGGCGGAAUUUAUGGUGUAGCGGUGAAAUGCAUAGAUACCAUAAAGAACACCGAUUGCGUAGGCAGCUCACUGGACUGUAACUGACGCUGAGGCUCGAAAGUGUGGGUAUCAAACAGG